Molecule: ribosomal RNA, 856 nt
Filed under: uncultured bacterium
Lineage: Bacteria
Description: bacterial SSU rRNA
Rfam family: Bacterial small subunit ribosomal RNA
Source: RNAcentral
AGAGUUUGAUCAUGGCUCAGAUUGAACGCUGGCGGCAGGCUUAACACAUGCAAGUCGAACGGUAACAGGAAGGAAGCUUGCUUUCUUUGCUGACGAGUGGCGGACGGGUGAGUAAUGCUUGGGAAUCUGGCUUAUGGAGGGGGAUAACUACGGGAAACUGUAGCUAAUACCGCGUAAUAUCUUCGGAUUAAAGGGUGGGACCGUAAGGCCACCUGCCAUAAGAUGAGCCCAAGUGGGAUUAGGUAGUUGGUGGGGUAAAGGCCUACCAAGCCGACGAUCUCUAGCUGGUCUGAGAGGAUGACCAGCCACACUGGAACUGAGACACGGUCCAGACUCCUACGGGAGGCAGCAGUGGGGAAUAUUGCACAAUGGGGGGAACCCUGAUGCAGCCAUGCCGCGUGAAUGAAGAAGGCCUUCGGGUUGUAAAGUUCUUUCGGUGAUGAGGAAGGCGGUUGUUUUAAUAGAACAAUCGAUUGACGUUAGUCACAGAAGAAGCACCGGCUAACUCCGUGCCAGCAGCCGCGGUAAUACGGAGGGUGCGAGCGUUAAUCGGAAUGACUGGGCGUAAAGGGCACGCAGGCGGUGACUUAAGUGAGAUGUGAAAGCCCCGGGCUUAACCUGGGAAUUGCAUUUCAUACUGGGUCGCUAGAGUAUUUUAGGGAGGGGUAGAAUUCCACGUGUAGCGGUGAAAUGCGUAGAGAUGUGGAGGAAUACCGAAGGCGAAGGCAGCCCCUUGGGAAUAUACUGACGCUCAUGUGCGAAAGCGUGGGGAGCAAACAGGAUUAGAUACCCUGGUAGUCCACGCUGUAAACGCUGUCGAUUUGGGGAUUGGGCUUUAAGCUUGGUGCCCGUAGCU